AACGAACGCUGGCGGCGUGGCUAAGACAUGCAAGUCGAACGGACUAUCCAAUUGAGUAAUCGAGAAGAUAGUUAGUGGCGAAAGGGUUAGUAAUGGAUAGGUAACGUACCUUGUGCUUCGGGAUAGCGUCGUUCGCCUUCGGGCGAACUACCGAAAGGGGCGGUAAUACCGAAAAUAUCACUUGUCGAUGGACAAGUGCUCAAAGAUUUAUCGGCACAGGAGCGACCUAUCUCCUAUCAGCUUGUUGGUGAGGUAAUGGCUCACCAAGGCCGUGACGGGUAGCGGGACUGAGAGGUUGGCCCGCAACAUCGGGACUGAGACACUGCCCGGACCUCCACGGAGGGCUGCAGUAACGAAUCUUGCGCAAUGGGCGAAAGCCUGACGCAGCGACGCCGCGUGCGGGAAGAAGUCCCUCGGGAUGUAAACCGCUGUCAGGGCUAAGAAAGUCCACUUCGGUGGAUUGAUCUAACCCAAAGGAAGUCACGGCUAACUUCGUGCCAGCAGCCGCGGUAAGACGAAGGUGGCAAGCGUUGUUCGGUGUCACUGGGCUUAAAGCGUGUGUAGGCGGAAAAGUAAGCGUCCUGUGAAAGCCCCCGGCUUAACCGGGGAACUGCUCGACGAACUGCUUUUCUUGAGGCAAGUAGGGGUGCAUGGAACUCUUGGUGGAGCGGUGGAAUGCGUAGAUAUCAAGAGGAACGCCGGCGGUGAAAACGGUGCACUGGGCUUGUCCUGACGCUGAGACACGAAAGCGUGGGGAGCGAACGGGAUUAGAUACCCCGGUAGUCCACGCCGUAAACGAUGUCUACUAGGUUGUGGAAGUUCUGACACUUGCACAGCCGAAGCAAAAGUGUUAAGUAGACCGCCUGGGGAGACGGCCGCAAGGCU
Molecule: ribosomal RNA, 885 nt
Filed under: uncultured Planctomycetota bacterium
Lineage: Bacteria; Pseudomonadati; Planctomycetota
Description: bacterial SSU rRNA
Rfam family: Bacterial small subunit ribosomal RNA
Source: RNAcentral